GACGAACGCUGGCGGCGUGCUUAACACAUGCAAGUCGAGCGGUAAGGCACCUUCGGGUGUACACGAGCGGCGAACGGGUGAGUAACACGUGAGUAAUCUGCCCUUCACUUCGGGAUAAGCACCGGAAACGGUGUCUAAUACCGAAUACGACCAGCCCCGGCAUCGGGUGCUGGUGGAAAGUUUUAUCGGUGGAGGAUGUGCUCGCGGCCUAUCAGCUUGUUGGUGAGGUAACGGCUCACCAAGGCUUCGACGGGUAGCCGGCCUGAGAGGGUGACCGGCCACACUGGGACUGAGACACGGCCCAGACUCCUACGGGAGGCAGCAGUGGGGAAUAUUGGACAAUGGGCGAAAGCCUGAUCCAGCAACGCCGCGUGAGGGAUGACGGCCUUCGGGUUGUAAACCUCUUUCAGUAUCGACGAAGCGCCUUUAACGGUGGUGACGGUAGAUACAGAAGAAGGACCGGCCAACUACGUGCCAGCAGCCGCAGUAACAC
This 493-nucleotide ribosomal RNA is filed under the name uncultured bacterium. Its description in RNAcentral is "bacterial SSU rRNA". It matches the Rfam family "Bacterial small subunit ribosomal RNA", at positions 28 to 526 of the family's 1533-position model. The record is from RNAcentral.